AUACAAUGAGAAAUUCUUUCCAAUGGCUUCUAGAAUGUCCCUGGAAGGUCACCCAAAGGUUGGUGCAAGGACACAGUGGCUGAUUUCCAUUCUGUCAGCAGGAUUUGGGCAAAGUGCAUUCGGAUCCUUCACAUCCACAAUGUAUCCAAAACGAUUCCCAGGAAGUGGCACGUAACGUUGCUGGGAUUCAAUCACAUACCAUCAAAUCCAGGUUGCACAAUUAAAGCCGAUUGGGGGUCUUGCGCAACAAACAUGCUUCACCGAAAGAUAGGAUGUCUUGUAAUAAGGAAAGUGAUGGGAAAAUGCACUGGAAAACGCUUUGAAGCAACAUCAUUUUAACUCCUUGCAAACAAAUCCUCUUUAAAUAGCCAACAUCAUCUACCCUUCCUGCAAACAAAUCAAGAUGGAUGUUCAAUAGACAGGACGUCUGGAAGAAUCAGCUAGAGGAAUCAGGACUAUAGUUGCCUCGUGAGAAAGAAUGAUGGGCAGA
Long non-coding RNA from Podarcis raffonei (Aeolian wall lizard), 490 nucleotides. RefSeq lists it as uncharacterized. The record is from RefSeq and is a predicted model, not a curated record. The transcript is spliced from 3 exons. NCBI's taxonomy places the organism in Eukaryota, Metazoa, Chordata, Lepidosauria, Squamata, Lacertidae.